CAAAUAAACCUCUUUUCUGGAUAAAUUACCCAGCCUCAGGUGCCUCUGCAAAAGAGGCACAGUAGAUAAUGCGCCACAAGGUCUGAGCACACACAAUGCAUCAAGGGGCUUUUAACUCCUGAGCACUGCAGACCCAGAGCAAUCGGAAUUACUCCAUAUUCUGAGAACAUAGGCAGAGCCUGUGGCGUUGGUUAUCACUGCCCUGCAAGACUUUCCUGUCCUGCAAGCUCCCAUCUGCAAAGACCGUCCUGUGUCUUGUGAGCAGAGGUCGCAUUCCCGCUCAGAGUUCCUGCACAAGCCCUCUUUACGAGCCCCUCAUGCAGACCCUAUGUUGGGAAGAGAUCGUGGGACCAAAGCCGUCUUUGCCGCCUCCCAACCCCACUGCAGCGUUCGCGGUUUAAAGUGCUCUCAGACGGUCUUCACUAGAGGCCUCCUGUUACCACUUGAUCUCUGCUUUUAUUUCACUGCACCAUAGUUUGGAGUUUUCUUAAUUCACUAUUUGAUCCGGGGCACAAAUCUCAGUGUAUAAAAAGCAAAGCAAGCUUGUAAUCAUUUAUGAGUAACACAGAUCUGCCCCGGCCAUCUUUUCCUACAACCCAGGACACAAACUUGCUCACUAUCCAACAGACCCCAAUGAAACCCAGGCCGGCCAUGAGCUGAAACAGCCCAUGACCCUCACCAGGCUUUAAGAGGUCAUCUGUUGCUGUUAGUUAAUAUCUCAAUGAAAAAAAUAAAGCAACAAAAACCUAAACUGAGAGCAAAGCUGGCACUCAGAAUCAGUGAAGCUGAAGUUGCCAAAUCUUAAUUAAGGAUGCUCUGUCCCUCAGGAUGCCAUUAUCUCAAGGGGUGCAAAACUCUUGAAACCCAAUUUCGUAUCAUCCAUUUUCAUUUUGUAAACAGAAAAUCAAAUACCCAAUAACUUAGGGCUUUAUGAUAUCAUUUCCCGGGCUGGGUGGGAGAGUUGUACCUUGCAAUUAAACAGUGAUGAGACAUUAAAAAUACUGUCCCU
Sapajus apella (tufted capuchin) is the source of this 1009-nucleotide long non-coding RNA. RefSeq lists it as uncharacterized. NCBI's taxonomy places the organism in Eukaryota, Metazoa, Chordata, Mammalia, Primates, Cebidae. The transcript is spliced from 2 exons. The record is from RefSeq and is a predicted model, not a curated record.